This 393-nucleotide ribosomal RNA is filed under the name uncultured bacterium. RNAcentral describes it as "partial 16S ribosomal RNA". It matches the Rfam family "Bacterial small subunit ribosomal RNA", at positions 523 to 918 of the family's 1533-position model. The record is from RNAcentral.
CUACGGUAGGUCCGGGCGUUAUCCGGAUUUAUUGGGUUUAAAGGGAGCGCAGGCGGAGAUGCACGCGUGACGUCAAAUUUCGGGGCUCAACCCCGUCUCGCGUCGCGACCUGCGUCCCUUGGUUGCGGGACGGGGAGGCGGAACCAGUGGGGUAGCGGUGAAAUGCAUCGAUAUCACGAAGAACUCCGAUCGCGAAGGCAGCCUUCCGGCCCGUCAACGACGCUCAUGCUCGAAGGUGCGGGUAUCAAACAGGAUUAGAUACCCUGGUAGUCCGCACAGUAAACGAUGGACACCCGCGGUUUGGCCUGUAUGGCUGAGCCGCCAAGCGAAAGCGUUAAGUGUCCCACCUGGGGAGCACGCCGGCAACGGUGAAACUCAAAUGAAUUGGCGGGG